AGCUCCAAUAGCGUAUAUUAAAGUUGUUGCGGUUAAAAAGCUCGUAGUUGGAUUUCUGUCGGUGAGUGGCGGUCCGCCCCCUGUGGUGAGCACUCGUCAGGCCACCGACAUCUUCCUGGGGAUUGCGCUGCACUUCACUGUGUGGUGUACUAUCCAGGGCGUUUACUUUGAGGAAAUGAGAGUGUUUCAAGCAAGCAUCUGCCAUGAAUACGUUAGCAUGGAAUAAUAGCAUCGGACCUCGAUCUGAAGCUGUUGGUGUUUUGGGUCGGGGUAAAGGUGAAUAGAGAUUGUUGGGGGCAUUCGUAUUUAACUGUCAGAGGUGAAAUUCUUGGAUUUGUUGAAGACGGACUACUGCGAAAGCAUCUGCCAAAGAUGUUCUCA
RNAcentral lists this ribosomal RNA (381 nucleotides) under uncultured eukaryote. RNAcentral describes it as "SSU rRNA". It matches the Rfam family "Eukaryotic small subunit ribosomal RNA", at positions 587 to 972 of the family's 1831-position model. The record is from RNAcentral.